Molecule: ribosomal RNA, 301 nt
Filed under: uncultured bacterium
Lineage: Bacteria
Description: partial 16S ribosomal RNA
Rfam family: Bacterial small subunit ribosomal RNA
Source: RNAcentral
CAGCAGCCGCGGUAAUACGGAGGAUCCAAGCGUUAUCCGGAAUCAUUGGGUUUAAAGGGUCCGUAGGCGGUCUUGUAAGUCAGUGGUGAAAGCCCAUCGCUCAACGGUGGAACGGCCAUUGAUACUGCAGGACUUGAAUUAUUGGGAAGUAACUAGAAUAUGUAGUGUAGCGGUGAAAUGCUUAGAGAUUACAUGGAAUACCAAUUGCGAAGGCAGGUUACUACCAAUUGAUUGACGCUGAUGGACGAAAGCGUGGGUAGCGAACAGGAUUAGAGACCCCCGUAGUCCCUGUCUCUUAUAC